This is a long non-coding RNA of Pseudopipra pipra, 960 nucleotides long. RefSeq lists it as uncharacterized. The transcript is spliced from 3 exons. The record is from RefSeq and is a predicted model, not a curated record. NCBI's taxonomy places the organism in Eukaryota, Metazoa, Chordata, Aves, Passeriformes, Pipridae.
CUACGACCGCCCGGGACGGCCACGGGAGAGAAGCGCGCAGGCGGCAGAAGGCGUGUGCCGAGAUGGACAUCGAACACCGCCCAGUCUCGGGCGAGCCAGAGUGCCGUCCCUUUGGCCGUGGAGAGGAGAGGAGCAGAUGAAAGACUAAAGGCAUUGAAAAACCCCGAAUCCCAUCCGGAUGGAAGACACUCCUCUACCGGCCAGGCCAAGUCCGUUCCCGGAGCCCAGGGGAACCCAGGAACGGGGAGCAGGACCUGCGGCAGCGGGAUCCGCCAGGCAGGGGGAAACGGGGCACGGGAGUGGGAUGCCAUGUCUGCCCCACCCAGCCCAGGCGUGCCAAGGGUGGGUGCCCUGGCUCGAGGGCCACCAGGUCUCCUGUGUGGUGGGAGAUGGGAGCAGCCGGACCCCUGCACUGAUCAGCGAGGGGCCGCCUGCCACUGCCACCCCCUGUGACGGUGGGUUCCCCCAUCGCAGCCCAGCCCCAGCCCCGCGGAUCCCACCGAGGGAAGCAAAAGCCACCGGUGGCUUCCCAUGUGCACUCCCAUUGUUGCCUGGUCCCUGGAGCCCAGGUGCUUGGUGCCAGAAGUGAGAACCCCCCUCGGGGCUCGUCCCCCCCCCCCAGUGGGUAAGUGACAAAACCAUCAGAGUAGCGUGUGCCCGGCCUCCUCCUUGUUCUCCAGCUCUCGUGUCUCUUGACAGCACCAGACUGGAGUCAAGCUCCACAGGGACUUCUUUCCUUGGUGAUUCAGCCAGGCCAGUUCCCUUGGCUGUGGUUUUGCUGGAUAGUCAGUAGGGACAGUGGGAAUCUCAUUCCUGCAUUCAUGCUCAUCACUAAUUAGAUGACAAGGCAUUUGGCUAUUUAUCAGGCACAUAUAAUAGCAGAUAUAAUUUCUAUGUGCUCUUUUUCUGGAUUAAGCGAAGGUGGCCUGUCCACCUUGGUCAGGAUUGGUAGAAUUUUGU